GACGAACGCUGGCGGUGCGCCUAACACAUGCAAGUCGAACGGAGUUGUGUUGAAAGCUUGCUGGAUAUACAACUUAGUGGCGGACGGGUGAGUAACACGUGAGUAACCUGCCUUUCAGAGUGGAAUAACGUUUGGAAACGAACGCUAAUACCGCAUAACAUGAAGGAACGGCAUCGUUCUUUCAUCAAAGAUUUUAUCGCUGAGAGAUGGGCUCGCGGCCGAUUAGGUAGUUGGUGAGAUAACAGCCCACCAAGCCGACGAUCGGUAGCCGGACUGAGAGGUUGAACGGCCACAUUGGGACUGAGACACGGCCCAGACUCCUACGGGAGGCAGCAGUGGGGGAUAUUGCACAAUGGAGGAAACUCUGAUGCAGCGACGCCGCGUGAGGGAAGACGGUCUUCGGAUUGUAAACCUCUGUCUUUAGGGACGAAAAAAUGACGGUACCUAAGGAGGAAGCCACGGCUAACUACGUGCCAGCAGCCGCGGUAAUACGUAGGUGGCAAGCGUUGUCCGGAAUUACUGGGUGUAAAGGGAGCGUAGGCGGGGAGACAAGUUGAAUGUUUAAACUAUCGGCUCAACUGAUAGUCGCGUUCAAAACUAUCACUCUUGAGUGCAGUAGAGGUAGGCGGAAUUCCUAGUGUAGCGGUGAAAUUGCGUAGAUAUUAGGAGGAACACCCAGUGGCGAAAGGCGGCCUACUGGGCUGUAACCUGACGCUGAGGCUUCGGAAAGCGUGGGUAGCAAACAGGAUUAGAUACCCUGGUAGUCCACGCCCGUAAACGAUGAUUACUAGGUGUGGGGGGACUGACCCCUUCCGUGCCGGAGUUAACACAAUAAGUAAUCCACCUGGGGAGUACGACCGCAAGGUUGAAACUCAAAGGAAUUGAGCGGGGGCCCGCACAAGCAGUGGAGUAUGUGGUUUAAUUCGAAGCAACGCGAAGAACCUUACCAGGUCUUGACAUCGAGUGACGAACAUAGAGAUAUGUUUUUCCUUCGGGACACGAAGACAGGUGGUGCAUGGUUGUCGUCAGCUCGUGUCGUGAGAUGUUGGGUUAAGUCCCGCAACGAGCGCAACCCUUAUCAUUAGUUGCUACGCAAGAGCACUCUAAUGAGACUGCCGUUGAUAAAACGGAGGAAGGUGGGGAUGACGUCAAAUCAUCAUGCCCCUUAUGACCUGGGCUACACACGUACUACAAUGGUGAUCAAACAGAGGGAAGCAACACAGCGAUGUGAAGCAGAACCCGAAAAAUCAUCUCAGUUCAGAUUGCAGGCUGCAACUCGCCUGCAUGAAGUCGGAAUUGCUAGUAAUCGCGGAUCAGCAUGCCGCGGUGAAUACGUUCCCGGGCCUUGGUACACACCGCCCGUCACACCAUGAGAGCUGGCAACACCCGAAGUCGGUAGGCUAACGCAAGGAGCGCGCCGCCGAAGGUGGGGUCGAUGAUUGGGGUG
Molecule: ribosomal RNA, 1447 nt
Filed under: uncultured bacterium
Lineage: Bacteria
Description: bacterial SSU rRNA
Rfam family: Bacterial small subunit ribosomal RNA
Source: RNAcentral